CGAAGCGCACGAACUCCGUGUCGUCCACGUAGCCGACUUCCAUGUACCGGGGCUCCCCGAGGCCGGGCCGGGACACGACGGUGUGGAAAUACCGCAGCGAGUGUGAGCCUGGGGGCGGCGCGCGAAGUCGACCCUGGAGUCUUCCAGAAGAAAAGCCUCUUCCGGGCAUACAGUGGCAACAACAAGCAGUUGGGGACACAGAGAGAAGCUGUCCUUAAGUAGAGGCGCUGGCCUGCGAGCCCCUCACAGACCCCACAGAGACCAGGCUCUGUCCACCUGCAGACCAAGCAGCUCCGGAACCUGCUAAAAAUGACGGAGACUCAGCAGCUACCCGGACAAUCUCCCGGGUUCCUCUGUGGUAAUCUCGAUGUCCUUGGGAGCAGAGGGCCCAGGGCAGCGUCAGUCUUCUCUGCCAGGCUCAGAGGGUCUAACAGACUUUCCUGUGGGCUAGGACUUGGGGGACCGGCCUGCUCUGUCUCAGCAACGCAGGACAGUCAACUCCCCAGUGUCCUGCUUGUCCACAGUUUGGACAGGGUCCUGGCGACGGGCAAGGGAAAGGGGAGUUUUUCAUCCAGUGGCUGACUGUGCCACAUUCCCAGCAAGCUCCAAGUGGAGUUCUUCCACCACAUCAUCAGCUGUGUGACCUUGGGGUCACUGCUAGAACCUGGGGGUCUUUGUCAUCGUAAGCCUUUUCCGUUAAACAUUUUAAAUGCCAUAGUCAACAGAUCUGGAAAGGUUUUGAGGACCUUUAUCUGGUAAGUGUAUUUAAACUAAACAAGCUUUGCUUGUUUCUAGUUACUUGUUUUAGAAAAUAUACAGGAGGCUAAAUAAGCUGAUUUCUGUAAUUAAUUACAUCAGGACUUAGCGUGACAGCAGGGAGAGCUUUGCACACAUGAAAGCAUUUGACCAUUUAUAUGGUGCCUAUUAACCAGCAUGUCUUAUUUGUCUUCAACAGUUUACAAUAAGUCAGUAGCUUUCAUAAGAUUAGGGUUUUAUAGCUUUAUCCAUGUUAAGUUUUAGCUUUAAAAAUCCGAGUUAAAGACCCUUUAGCAACAAAAGAAACGAUCAAGGCAGUAAACUUUAGUCCAUAGGAAACUGGUAUCUUGAGCUGGGUGUGGUGGCACACACCUGUAGUCCCAGCACUCUGGGAGGCAGAGGCAGGAGGAUCACUGGGAGUUCGAGGCCAGCCUGGUCUAGGCAGUGAGUCUAGGACAGCCAAGGCUACACAGAGGAACCCUGUCUCAAAAGAAAAAAAAAACUUUUAAAAACAGACUGGUAUUUUUUACAGUGUACCAUUAGAGAAUAUAAUAGUUUUUGUAUGACUCAGUUUAUCCAGAUAACUAAAGCUUAGCUAGUUGGGCAAAGACAAAGAAGCUAGACAAAUAUUACUGUCCUAUCUGGAGCACAGCUGUCAGUUCUCAGAUGAAGAACAGAACCUGAUAUAGACAUACAUGUAGUCAAACAGCAUUGUACAUGAAAUAAAAAUAAAAUUUUAAAAGUGUACAUGGGGGAAGGGAUUACCUAUUCUGGGUACAGGGUCUCUAUAGGUGAGCAGUCUCGGGCUGGAACAGGAGGCCACAGGUGAUAAUCUUUGCACACAUUGAUCAAUACUUCAUAACCUCUCACACUUGGACUCCCAAGGAAAGCUUUGCCACCCUUCAUGAGCCAGGCCUAUAUGAAUAAUGGCUUUGCCAAUGUACCAGGGGCCCCUUGUUCUUGGCGUCCUAAACCGGCCAUGCCCAAGUCAAAAUACACUUUCACUCAGGAACUCGCUCACUCAGGGCUGCCUCUGCUACCUAUGAAUCAGCUGUCAAGAAAAUGCCCCAGAGGAGGCAACACUUAUAAAUGGCCCCAAGCAGGACAUGAAGCCGAAAUUCCAGGAGGGAGAGUGAGUGCUGUGCUUUCCCGGGCCUCUUCUUAAGGAAGCAAAGUGUGUACAGGUUGCCAUAAAGGACAAACAAGUGAAAUCCUUUAUCCAUUACUGUGGUUGGAAUAAAAAAAAAAGUGCCGUGAGGCCCGGUGGCUCUGAAAAACCUUUGAAGACCCGUGAGGGUAGUGCAGCCCUUUUCCUCUUCCUGAAGAGCUCCCUCAGCACAGCACCCCUCCUGACCUCUAGUCGGGAUGGGUGGGUUCCAGAAAGCAGAGUACUCAGACAGGUGCACACCAGUUUGCAGAAGCAGCGAGAACUCCAAAAGGCCAAUCAGGAUCAGAGUGCAGAGAGCAAGAGGAGUGAGCUGCUCCAGGAAAGAAGACUCUGGUCUGCAACAGAAAAAUGUUGAAGUGAAAACAAAAGAGAAAAGAACAGGCAGAAAAGGCCUGGAAAUGGAGAUGGUGGCAGUACCAGUGACACCGCAGCCUCCUAGGAAGAGAAGAGCCCGGCCAGAUCCUACCCUUGGAAAUGGAGAAACAGUCCUGAGCAGAGGGGAAGUCAAAGACAAAGAAGCUAGACAAAUAUUACUGUCCUAUCUGGAGCACAGCUGUCAUUUCUCAGAUGAAGAACGGAAUCUGAUAUAGACAUACAUGUAGUCAAACAGCAUUGUACAUGAAAUAAAAAUAAAAUUUUAAAAGUGUA
Molecule: long non-coding RNA, 2572 nt
Organism: Meriones unguiculatus (Mongolian gerbil)
Lineage: Eukaryota; Metazoa; Chordata; Mammalia; Rodentia; Muridae
Exons: 2
Source: RefSeq, a predicted model, not a curated record